Molecule: ribosomal RNA, 119 nt
Filed under: Pteropus alecto (black flying fox)
Lineage: Eukaryota; Metazoa; Chordata; Mammalia; Chiroptera; Pteropodidae
Source: RNAcentral
CACUAUGGCCAUGCCACUCGGAACGCGCCCGAUCUCGUCUGAUCUCGGAAGCUAAGCAGGGUCAGGCCUGGUUAGUACUUAGAUGGGAGACUAUCUAGGAAGACCAAGUGCUGUAGGAA